RNAcentral lists this ribosomal RNA (485 nucleotides) under uncultured Lachnospiraceae bacterium. RNAcentral describes it as "partial 16S ribosomal RNA". Lineage: Bacteria; Bacillati; Bacillota; Clostridia; Lachnospirales; Lachnospiraceae. The record is from RNAcentral.
CACGUAGUUAGCCGGGGCUUCUUAGUCAGGUACCGUCAUUAUCUUUCCUGCUGAUAGAGCUUUACAUACCGAGAUACUUCCUCACUCACGCGGCGUCGCUGCAUCAGGGUUUCCCCCAUUGUGCAAUAUUCCCCACUGCUGCCUCCCGUAGGAGUCUGGGCCGUGUCUCAGUCCCAAUGUGGCCGUUCACCCUCUCAGGCCGGCUACUGAUCGUCGCUUUGGUGGGCCGUUACCCCGCCAACUGGCUAAUCAGACGCGGAUCCAUCGUAUACCACCGGAGUUUUUCACACCGCCCCAUGCGGAGCUGUGCGCUCAUGCGGUAUUAGCACCUAUUCUAAGUGUUAUCCCCCGGUAUACGGCAGGUUAUCCACGCGUUACUCACCCGUCCGCCACUAACUCAUAAAUCACUAGGUUCAGUAUGAGUCCGUUCGACUUGCAUGUGUUAGCACGCCGCAGCGUUUCAUCCUGAGCCAGGAUCAAACUCU